GACGAACGCUGGCGGCGUGCCUAAUACAUGCAAGUCGAACGCAGUGGGGACGGGUGAGUAACACGUGGGUAACCUCCCAUCAGAGGGGAUAACACUUGGAAACAGGUGCUAAACCGAUACUGAUGGAUGGACCCGCGGUGCAUUAGCUAGUUGGUGAGGUAACGGCUCACCAAGGCCACGAUGCAUAGCCGGCCUGGGAGGGUGACAGGGCACACUGGGACUGAGACACGGCCCAGAAGCCUACGGGAGGCAGCAGUAGGGAAUCUUCGGAAAUGGACGAAAGUCUGACAGAGCAACGCCGCGUGAGUGAAGAAGGUUUUCGGAUCGUAAAGCUCUGUUGUUGGAGAAGCGGUAGCUAAACAGAAAGCCACGGCUAACUACGUGCCAGCAGCCGGGGUAAUUC
This 403-nucleotide ribosomal RNA is filed under the name uncultured bacterium. RNAcentral describes it as "partial 16S ribosomal RNA". It matches the Rfam family "Bacterial small subunit ribosomal RNA", at positions 28 to 526 of the family's 1533-position model. The record is from RNAcentral.